GACGAACGCUGGCGGCGUGCCUAAUACAUGCAAGUUGAGCGAUGAAGAUUGGUGCUUGCACCAAUUUGAAGAGCAGCGAACGGGUGAGUAACGCGUGGGGAAUCUGCCUUUGAGCGGGGGACAACAUUUGGAAACGAAUGCUAAUACCGCAUAAUAACUUUAAACAUAAGUUUUAAGUUUGAAAGAUGCAAUUGCAUCACUCAAAGAUGAUCCCGCGUUGUAUUAGCUAGUUGGUGAGGUAAAGGCUCACCAAGGCGAUGAUACAUAGCCGACCUGAGAGGGUGAUCGGCCACAUUGGGACUGAGACACGGCCCAAACUCCUACGGGAGGCAGCAGUAGGGAAUCUUCGGCAAUGGACGAAAGUCUGACCGAGCAACGCCGCGGGAGUGAAGAAGGUUGUCGGAUCGUAAAACUCUGUUGGUAGAGAAGAACGUUGGUGAGAGUGGAAAGCUCAUCAAGUGACGGUAACUACCCAGAAAGGGACGGCUAACUACGUG
RNAcentral lists this ribosomal RNA (497 nucleotides) under uncultured bacterium. RNAcentral's name for it is "partial 16S ribosomal RNA". It matches the Rfam family "Bacterial small subunit ribosomal RNA", at positions 28 to 507 of the family's 1533-position model. The record is from RNAcentral.